This 473-nucleotide ribosomal RNA is filed under the name uncultured organism. RNAcentral describes it as "partial 16S ribosomal RNA". It matches the Rfam family "Bacterial small subunit ribosomal RNA", at positions 335 to 799 of the family's 1533-position model. The record is from RNAcentral.
ACUCCUGCGGGAGGCAGCAGUGGGGAAUUUUGGACAAUGGGCGAAAGCCUGAUCCAGCAAUGCCGCGUGAGUGAAGAAGGCCUUCGGGUUGUAAAGCUCUUUUGUCAGGGAAGAAACGGUGAGAGCUAAUAUCUUUUGCUAAUGACGGUACCUGAAGAAUAAGCACCGGCUAACUACGUGCCAGCAGCCGCGGUAAUACGUAGGGUGCAAGCGUUAAUCGGAAUUACUGGGCGUAAAGCGUGCGCAGGCGGUUUUGUAAGUCUGAUGUGAAAUCCCCGGGCUCAACCUGGGAAUUGCAUUGGAGACUGCAAGGCUAGAAUCUGGCAGAGGGGGGUAGAAUUCCACGUGUAGCAGUGAAAUGCGUAGAUAUGUGGAGGAACACCGAUGGCGAAGGCAGCCCCCUGGGUCAAGAUUGACGCUCAUGCACGAAAGCGUGGGGAGCAAACAGGAUUAGAAACCCCAGUAGUCCCAUG